This 1010-nucleotide ribosomal RNA is filed under the name uncultured archaeon. Its description in RNAcentral is "bacterial SSU rRNA". It matches the Rfam family "Archaeal small subunit ribosomal RNA", at positions 122 to 1131 of the family's 1478-position model. The record is from RNAcentral.
UGGCAUAACCCCGGGAAACUGGGGAUAAUACCGGAUAGGUCAAACUUGCUGGAAGGCUGUUUGGUUGAAACCUCCGGGGCUUUUGGAUGGGUCUGCGGCUGAUUAGGUUGUUGCCGGUGUAACGUACCGUCAAGCCUGUAAUCAGUACGGGUUGUGGGAGCAAGAGCCCGGAGAUGGAUUCUGAGACACGAAUCCAGGCCCUACGGGGCGCAGCAGGCGCGAAAACUCUACAAUGCAGGCAACUGCGAUAGGGGAACAUCGAGUGGCGUCCAUAUUGGAUGUCUGUCCUCCCGCCUAAAAAGCGGGAGUUAGCAAGGGCCGGGCAAGACCGGUGCCAGCCGCCGCGGUAAUACCGGCGGCUCGAGUGGUGGCCGAUAUUAUUGAGUCUAAAGGGUCCGUAGCCGGCUUUGCAAGUCUCUCGGGAAAUCCAGCGGCUUAACCGUUGGUCGUCCGGGGGGUACUACAUUGCUUGGGACUGGGAGAGGUAGGAGGUACUCAGGGGGUAGGAGUGAAAUCCUGUAAUCCUUUGGGGACCACCGGUGGCGAAGGCGUCCUACCAGAACAGGUCCGACGGUGAGGGACGAAAGCUAGGGGCACGAACCGGAUUAGAUACCCGGGUAGUCCUAGCCGUAAACGAUGCUCGCUAGGUGUCACAACAGUCAUGAACUGUUGUGGUGCCGUAGGGAAGCCGUGAAGCGAGCCACUUGGGAAGUACGACCGCAAGGUUGAAACUUAAAGGAAUUGGCGGGGGAGCACCACAACGGGUGGAGCCUGCGGUUUAAUUGGACUCAACGCCGGGAAGCUUACCGGGAUCGACAGUUGUAUGAAGGCCAGGCUGAAGACCUUGCCGGACUAUCUGAGAGGAGGUGCAUGGCCGCCGUCAGUUCGUACCGUGAGGCGUCCUGUUAAGUCAGGCAACGAGCGAGACCCAUGCCCACUGUUGCUAACGCGACCCGCGAGGGUUGGCGAGUACACGGUGGGGACCGCUGGCGCUAAGUCAGAGGAAGGGG